Molecule: ribosomal RNA, 492 nt
Filed under: uncultured bacterium
Lineage: Bacteria
Description: partial 16S ribosomal RNA
Rfam family: Bacterial small subunit ribosomal RNA
Source: RNAcentral
AGUGAACGCUGGCGGUAGGCCUAACACAUGCAAGUCGAACGGCAGCACAGUAAGAGCUUGCUCUUACGGGUGGCGAGUGGCGGACGGAUGAGGAAUACAUCGGAAUCUACUUUUUCGUGGGGGAUAACGUAGGGAAACUUACGCUAAUACCGCAUACGACCUACGGGUGAAAGCAGGGGAUCUUCGGACCUUGCGCGAUUGAAUGAGCCGAUGUCGGAUUAGCUAGUUGGCGGGGUAAAGGCCCACCAAGGCGACGAUCCGUAGCUGGUCUGAGAGGAUGAUCAGCCACACUGGAACUGAGACACGGUCCAGACUCCUACGGGAGGCAGCAGUGGGGAAUAUUGGACAAUGGGCGAAAGCCUGAUCCAGCCAUACCGCGUGGGUGAAGAAGGCCUUCGGGUUGUAAAGCCCUUUUGUUGGGAAAGAAAAGCAGCAGGUUAAUACCCCGCUGUUCUGACGGUACCCAAAGAAUAAGCACCGGCUAACUUCGUG